GAAAUUUCAAUCAUACAGAGGCAAGUGUGAGCUAUUUUUGCCGCUAGUGCUCAUGGGUAAGGUCGCGGUGGGUGCGGGCGUGGUCUGCGCGGCUGCUGUGUGUGCUGCGACGGCGCUGGUGGUAAGGCACAGGAUGCUCAGCUCGGGGAGAUGGGCCAAGGCCAUGGCCAUACUCAGGGAGUUCGAGGACAAGUGUGGGACACCCAUAGGAAAGCUACACCAGGUGGCCGAUGCCAUGACCGUUGAGAUGCAUGCCGGCCUUGCAUCGGAAGGUGGGAGCAAGCUUAAGAUGCUCAUCAGCUAUGUUGACAAUCUUCCCAUAGGCGAUGAGAAGGGUUUGUUUUAUGCUUUAGACCUUGGGGGCACAAAUUUUCGUGUCCUACGGGUACUAUUGGGUGGGAAAGAAGAUCGUGUUGUCAAACAAGAAUUUGAGGAAGUUUCAAUUCCUCCUUACUUGAUGACUGGAUCUUCAGAUGCAUUGUUCGAUUAUAUUGCUGAAGCACUUGCUAAAUUUGUUGCUACAGAAGGUGAAGGAUUGCAUCCUUCACCUGGUCAACAAAGGGAACUGGGCUUUACCUUUUCAUUUCCAGUUCGGCAAACAUCAAUAGCAUCAGGAACUCUUAUAAAAUGGACAAAAGGCUUCUCCAUAGAGGACACGGUUAAUCAUAAUUACCUUCUUCCGUUUCGCAAUCAUUUAUACUUAUGAUCAGUGCUUGCAGCUAGUUAUGAAAUUUUUUUUUUUUUGAUGUUGGUGCAUUUCUUUUAUUUUUAGCUUUGAAUAUUUUUUCUCUAAUAUAAAAUUUUGCUCAUCAUUUUCUCCUUGCCACCGCAAUCGUUAUAAUUCCAUUUCAUUGCAUUAAGGUAAAAUGCUAUUAGAUUUCCUUUGAUCUGUGCAAUUUCGGCAGUUCAGAAACAUGCAAUGGAUAUUACUGGGGGACCACAUGCAAAACUCAACACCAAAACUUCAUGGCCAAUGGUUCUGUCAUUUUGGCUUAUUUGUCUGGAACAGUUCCUUCCUUUUUCUGUAUUUUCAUCAGAAGGCCUACUGGCCUUGGGCGUGGAAGUGUUCAUUUUCUCUUAAAAUGAAUUUGCAUGCAUAAAUUUGCAGAUAUGUCCCUCAGUGCAGCUUUCAUGCUUAAAUUUGCAGGCAUAUCUAGCUAAUUUAUAGACUUAUAACAUUAAUUGAUGUAUGGAUCCUUGUUAACUACUAUGUAUGGAUUGUUGAUCAUUUAGACAACUGUGCAAUUCAUGUAUUGAGUAAAGGGAAAGCUCAAAGCAAUACUUGUUUAGUCUUGCAUGCCAGAUCUUGCUAGGUUUUGGUUAUAUUAUUCUGUGACAAAUACUUAAACAUUUAACUGUAACAAGCAGACAGUUACUUAGUAAUUCUUUUUUUGUGAGGUUCGGAAAUUUUGGGCCAUAGUUUACAGGUGUUCCUGACAUGGGACAUAUCUCAAUGCUUCAUUCAAUAAUGUGACUUCUAAGUCUGUUAACUUCUUUUUAACUGUUUGAUGGCUGGUCCUUGUACAGUUUGGGCAAGAUGUGGUGGGAGAGUUGACAAAAGCCAUGGAAAGAGUUGGCCUUGACAUGCGUGUUGCAGCUUUGGUCAAUGAUACAAUUGGAACACUAGCUGGAGGUAGAUACUACAACCAGGAUGUUAUUGCUGCUGUAAUCUUGGGUACUGGAACUAAUGCAGCAUAUGUAGAGCGAGCACAAGCAAUUCCCAAGUGGCAUGGUCUUCUUCCUAGAUCUGGGGAAAUGGUCGUUACUUUUAAAUAAUUGUUAUUUACCGUUGUUCUUAUAUACCCUAACAUGUUAUCUGUUUACAGUUAACUGUAUCAUAUUUCUGUGGCAGGAUUUCUUGUUAUGACUUGACAUUUAAAAUCAUACUAAAGCAGUCUUUAUUACAUAGGUUAUCAACAUGGAGUGGGGUAACUUUCGGUCGUCACACCUUCCAUUGACAGAAUAUGACCAAGCCCUGGAUGUUGAGUCUCUGAACCCUGGGGAACAGAUUUUUGAGAAGAUAAUUUCUGGUAUGUAUUUAGGAGAGAUUGUACGCAGAGUUCUAUUGAAAAUGGCUCAGGAAGCUGCCUUCUUUGGUGUUGAUGUUCCACCAAAACUGGAGAUUCCAUUUAUCUUAAGGUAUGAUAUAUACUAUUAUGCUGUGAGCUAUUUGUUAUUCAGUCCUCCUUGUCUUUUUAGGCUUUGGCUUCUUUGUGUUUGCUUAUGUUUGGGUUGUUUCGCUAAUGCAUAUUGACUUUAUGUGAAAAUGAUGCUGACUGCAGACCCUACUCUUAAGAUUGGGAUUCACCAACACAUCCUUUUCUCUCCAUCUCUUUCAUCUUCAGUGUCCUUUCAUACAAUAUUUAUUGAGUUUCAUAUGAGUGAAAAUAGGUUAAUUUUGUCAUAUGUAUGGUGUAAUUUGCUUAUAAUGGACAUACAGUGUGCUGCUCUGUUAAUUUUGUGCUAAUAGCUUUCUUGCUGUCACGUUUCUCUUUCUGUUAUGAAAUAUGCAGGACUCCACACAUGUCUGCAAUUCAUCACGAUACAUCUUCAGAUCUGAGAGUUGUUGGAAGCAAAUUAAAGGAUAUCCUAGAGGUAUUCAUCCUCUUGAUGCUCUUUAGAACCUUCCACAUGAUCUUAAAUUUUCUGUUACCUUGCAAAUGCAUUUUGUUAUCUAAGCUUCCUGCAUCUGUGUUUCCUAAUUAUAAAUGUCUCUUAGAUAAUUCAAGGGUUCAAGCCUUUUGGCUUCAUGCAGAAGCUAAUACAACAGUAGCAGUGUUUCCCAUCCACGUGUGAACUUAGCAGCUAAAGGACAACAAAGAUAAUUUCAUGGCUUUUUGUAGAAUUUGUAAUGUAGUGUUUCAUUUCUGGCUCAGGUACCAAAUACCUCCCUGAAAAUGAGGAAAGCUAUUGUCGAGCUCUGCGACAUUGUUGCCACUCGUGGUGCCCGGCUAUCUGCUGCUGGAAUCUUAGGCAUCCUCAAAAAAUUGGGGAGAGACACAGUGAGGGAUGGGGAAAAGCAGAAGUCAGUAAUAGCAUUGGAUGGUGGGCUGUUUGAGCACUAUACUAAAUUUCGUACCUCCAUGGAAAGCACUCUCAAGGAGUUGCUGGGAGAGGAAAUUUCUGAAAGCAUUGUCAUUGAGCACUCAAAUGAUGGCUCGGGCAUUGGAGCAGCUCUCCUGGCAGCUUCCCACUCCCAAUACAUGGAGGUCGCAGAAGCUUAAAAAAGUAUAGGUAGAUGAAAAUAAUGACAUUUUUCAAAUUUUGUAUUUUACUCCUUGCCAUCACUUACUCCAGAUAGUCUAGAGCUAGCGAUAUCUCCUAGUUCAUGGGGUAUGCCAGUAGAUCUUAAUGCGUGGUCUUAUAGAGUUUAUAACCGAGUGAUGGAUCAAAUACUCUCACAAAGUGGCUAGCAAUGGACCCAAGCUUCCAUGUUGAGACCUGCCAUUUUGAUCCCUUACCUCCUUUUUCCCCCUUUACAAGGUAGCAAAUAAAGUGGGGGAUGUAAACUAUUAUUUGAGUCGCUACAUUCGGCAAAAUAUGUUUCUAUGGUUUCAAAUGGAAAUAAAAAGUAGAUUUUGC
This 3582-nucleotide unclassified non-coding RNA is filed under the name Hevea brasiliensis (rubber tree). Lineage: Eukaryota; Viridiplantae; Streptophyta; Magnoliopsida; Malpighiales; Euphorbiaceae. The record is from RNAcentral.